RNAcentral lists this long non-coding RNA (742 nucleotides) under Junco hyemalis (dark-eyed junco). RNAcentral describes it as "lncRNA (ENSJHYG00000009166.1)". The record is from RNAcentral. Lineage: Eukaryota; Metazoa; Chordata; Aves; Passeriformes; Passerellidae.
UAAAAAGGACCGUAGCUUUGUCUGGGAAAUUACUUGUUUGCAAUAAAAUUGCUGUCAUUUUAGGGGCAAGAAAAGGAUGAGAGCCAAACUGGGAAAGGAAUUUAGUGUCAUGAAAUCAAACCAGCAAGUUUAGAUCAAAAGGUCUUUGGAGCAGGAAAUGUGCCUAAUCAUGUAUUCAUACAGUGACUGACAAAAUGAGGCUUUUGUCUUGACUUGAGUCCCUGGGAAUCGUCAGAAAGCAAACACCAGACCAAGGCAAGCUGCACCAGGACCUCUGAGAUAUACACAGAGGAGUGAAAAUGAGAGUGAAGUUACUCUUCUCACACUACAUUUUGCACUGAAAAUUAUUAACUUGGUUACUGAAAGCCUUAUCCAUAUUCAUGGAUUUUAAACAACUAAAGCAAAACAAAAUGGAUAUUCCUUCCGUACCUGGAGAAAUGGCUGCUGCUGCUGCUGAGAGCUGGUGCAUCUCCUUGGUGAAACUCUGGUUCAACAUGAUCAGCUCCUGCCCUAGAGCUCCAGCUGUCUCAAGGACUUUGAGAACAAACAAUAUGGAUUACAGUGCUGUGUACCUCCACUGCACCAGACAGAAGCCAUGCAAUGAAAUUGGUGACUGAGCUGGCUCAGGGAAUGGAGGAGGACCAGGCUUGGCUAGCAGAGAGCUGGAUCCACAGAUAUAGUAAGGACGGGACCAUGUGAAGGGUGCUGAGUGAGUAGGGUGUGGGUAUUUAUCACACUGUGG